CUGAAAUGUUUCAAAGUGUUUCUGGAAAUCUCAUCUACUUAAGCCAGCCAUUACCUGUGUUUUGUUCUGUGUGGACUACAUUCAGCCCUGUUUCACAAGCACCCCUCUGUGACAUCACACAAGCAUCAGCUUGCAGUGACACCAGUGUUUGGGACCUAAAGGCUUCUGCUGUUCUUGAGCAGGAAGACGCGGGCCGGCACGAGCAACCGUGGACGUUCAAUGGCAGCCCAGGGCAGCAGCACCAGCAACUUUCCAGGAGCAAACUUCCAAGUGAGAAGACAGGAAACUGA
RNAcentral lists this long non-coding RNA (290 nucleotides) under Chinchilla lanigera (long-tailed chinchilla). RNAcentral describes it as "lncRNA (ENSCLAG00000028485.1)". The record is from RNAcentral. Lineage: Eukaryota; Metazoa; Chordata; Mammalia; Rodentia; Chinchillidae.